Molecule: long non-coding RNA, 780 nt
Organism: Trematomus bernacchii (emerald rockcod)
Lineage: Eukaryota; Metazoa; Chordata; Actinopteri; Perciformes; Nototheniidae
Exons: 4
Source: RefSeq, a predicted model, not a curated record
CUUCCUCCCUCAGCGUGGGCGUGAAGUGGGCUGUGGGUGAAAGGACCCUGACAGAUGAUAAUAUCUCGCUUUAUGGAGGCCAAACAGAGGCAUUGCAUUUGAAUAAAUGUCAAACUUGUCAUUACCAAAGUGGGGGCUUUAAAUGCAGGAAAAUACCACUGUUCAGACUCUACAGAUGAGCAAAAGGUGUUUAACAAAAUCAGGCUGCAUACCCUCGAUGGUGAGUAUUGACACUCUAUAAGUGCCGAUACAGAGCAUGCUGUAUUUACUUUGCUAUUAAAUUCUUUUCUAUCAUGUUUGUCUUUACAGUUACUUCAGAGUGUGUGCCAGGAGGAGAUAAUCUCACAUUGACUUGUGUGCUCACCUGCUCUAAAGAAUGUGGAAAAGACUUCGAUUUACUUUGGUCUGGAGGAAACCACAAUAGCUGGCAGAGCGGUUUAAUACAUGUCAAUAACACUCUUCUAAACAAGCUGUUUCUCCCAGUGCUUUCUGUUACUGGUGAAUUAACUUGCUCUAUACAAAGAGAGGGGAGAGUCAUGGCGUCAAAGAAAUGGCGCUCUAUUGACCUUCUGCAAACGCCAGGGUAGCUGUUCCUCUAGCCCUCCUGAUGUGUAUAUCUGCCAUUGGACUUUACAUGUACAUGAAGAGGAAGCACAACACAAAUACAGAAAAUGAACAGCCAAGUAUUGGAAUGACUCAUAUUUACGAGGUCAUUCAAGAAAAACAUAUCGAGGGACCACACCAGCACAGGCACACCGAAAGAGGAGCUGUCACCACAAC